Molecule: long non-coding RNA, 1138 nt
Organism: Pyrus x bretschneideri (Chinese white pear)
Lineage: Eukaryota; Viridiplantae; Streptophyta; Magnoliopsida; Rosales; Rosaceae
Exons: 2
Source: RefSeq, a predicted model, not a curated record
UGUAAUUUGUGUUUUAAUCAUGAUAAAACACUUAAAAGGGAAGUAACUACCACUUAACUUAAGAGAAUGAGUUUGCUAAAAACUCUGCUUAACGUGGGAUAACUACAACCACGAUGGAUGGAGCAAUUAUGGCCUUACACAAUUAAAACCGAUGCAUGGUCUCUCUUCUCGGAUGCCAGUUCAUUUUGAUACAAUCUCCAUCACUUGUAGAACAUUUUUUAGUCCCAGAGAAGAGAAGAACACAACCCUUCAUGCACCACAAGUUCUUGUAGUAAAACCUGCUACUGCAAGCCCUAGUUCCAUUGUGAUUACAUUGUUUCUUGCUUUCUAAUCUUUAUGGUGAACUCAACAAGUUGAUUAUACUUAAGUUCCACAUACAAAGGUUUAUACUCCUCUCCUCGCAGCACGCCAUCGAAGAAGCCCCACGCCGACUCCUUCACUGCUCUCUUAAAGACGUCUCCCACCUCUUCCAUGUCUCCUCAUCUUCUUUUGGUUCCCUCAACAAGUUCCUCAACAAAUUUGCUGCCACUUAUCUCACCCCCACAAACACCUAGAACUCCCAUGCCAUCAACAACUCCAACGUGGAUCGAAUUUAGGGGUUGGGUUGGAUUCGUCCAAAUCUGAAAUUCCCCCAAACCCAGGUCCAUAUUGCAGGGCCGAAGCCGGCAUCCCUCUGCCUCCCUCCUUGUGCUACUACAGAAACCUCAACGACGUUUCCCCCACCCGUCGCCCGCUGCUUGCAACUCCUAAAUCUCGAGGUAAAUUUGGGAGUGAGAUUUGUUCAAAUCCUAAAUUCCCCAGACCCAGCGUCUCCACAAUCUAUUUGGAUUGCUAUUUGGUUUUUACUCGAUUAAGUAGUGCAAUUUGGGGCCGAUAUGAAGAUUCUGCAUAAUUUUUUUCGUUGGAGCAGGUUGCUGGAGAAGAUGGGGAGUAUAGACUCAAAAGACAUUUAAAAGAAGAUGUGGACCCUGCUUGUGCUUUUUUUAGUUUAGUUUUGUAUUAGCUUUAUAUUUAAAUUGGUACUUAUUACAUGAAAUUUUUUUUGUGUUAUACACAUGGCAUCCCUCGUCAUUAAAAAUGUAGAUUUUAUAUAUGUCACGUCAUUAUUUAACAGUUAAUUUAACGGAUUGACUACUAA